AGGAGAAUAGUUGCAACGGUAGAACGAUGGUUUCCAAAACCAGAGGUUGGGGGUUCGAAUCCCUCUUUUCCUG
This 73-nucleotide transfer RNA is filed under the name Tetraselmis marina. Its description in RNAcentral is "tRNA-Trp". It matches the Rfam family "tRNA". Rfam says of the family: Transfer RNA (tRNA) molecules are approximately 80 nucleotides in length. Their secondary structure includes four short double-helical elements and three loops (D, anti-codon, and T loops). The record is from RNAcentral. Lineage: Eukaryota; Viridiplantae; Chlorophyta; Chlorodendrophyceae; Chlorodendrales; Chlorodendraceae.